This 557-nucleotide ribosomal RNA is filed under the name uncultured Brevundimonas sp. RNAcentral's name for it is "bacterial SSU rRNA". It matches the Rfam family "Bacterial small subunit ribosomal RNA", at positions 102 to 694 of the family's 1533-position model. The record is from RNAcentral. Lineage: Bacteria; Pseudomonadati; Pseudomonadota; Alphaproteobacteria; Caulobacterales; Caulobacteraceae.
ACGGGUGAGUAACACGUGGGAACGUGCCUUUAGGUUCGGAAUAACUCAGGGAAACUUGUGCUAAUACCGAAUGUGCCCUUCGGGGGAAAGAUUUAUCGCCUUUAGAGCGGCCCGCGUCUGAUUAGCUAGUUGGUGAGGUAAAGGCUCACCAAGGCGACGAUCAGUAGCUGGUCUGAGAGGAUGAUCAGCCACAUUGGGACUGAGACACGGCCCAAACUCCUACGGGAGGCAGCAGUGGGGAAUCUUGCGCAAUGGGCGAAAGCCUGACGCAGCCAUGCCGCGUGAAUGAUGAAGGUCUUAGGAUUGCAAAAUUCUUUCACCGGGGACGAUAAUGACGGUACCCGGAGAAGAAGCCCCGGCUAACUUCGUGCCAGCAGCCGCGGUAAUACGAAGGGGGCUAGCGUUGCUCGGAAUUACUGGGCGUAAAGGGAGCGUAGGCGGACAUUUAAGUCAGGGGUGAAAUCCCGGGGCUCAACCUCGGAAUUGCCUUUGAUACUGGGUGUCUUGAGUAUGAGAGAGGUGUGUGGAACUCCGAGUGUAGAGGUGAAAUUCGUAGA